Molecule: ribosomal RNA, 85 nt
Filed under: Helicobacter suis HS1
Lineage: Bacteria; Pseudomonadati; Campylobacterota; Epsilonproteobacteria; Campylobacterales; Helicobacteraceae
Source: RNAcentral
GUGUCCCUAGUAGAGAGGAAAUACCCAGUCCCAUCCCGAACCUGGAAGUCAAGCUCUCUAACGCCGAUGAUACUGCCCUUUGCAA